This 1540-nucleotide ribosomal RNA is filed under the name Staphylococcus aureus GD2010-131. RNAcentral describes it as "16S ribosomal RNA". It matches the Rfam family "Bacterial small subunit ribosomal RNA". RNAcentral also lists the same sequence under 1 other name. Lineage: Bacteria; Bacillati; Bacillota; Bacilli; Caryophanales; Staphylococcaceae. The record is from RNAcentral.
AGAGUUUGAUCCUGGCUCAGGAUGAACGCUGGCGGCGUGCCUAAUACAUGCAAGUCGAGCGAACGGACGAGAAGCUUGCUUCUCUGAUGUUAGCGGCGGACGGGUGAGUAACACGUGGAUAACCUACCUAUAAGACUGGGAUAACUUCGGGAAACCGGAGCUAAUACCGGAUAAUAUUUUGAACCGCAUGGUUCAAAAGUGAAAGACGGUCUUGCUGUCACUUAUAGAUGGAUCCGCGCUGCAUUAGCUAGUUGGUAAGGUAACGGCUUACCAAGGCAACGAUGCAUAGCCGACCUGAGAGGGUGAUCGGCCACACUGGAACUGAGACACGGUCCAGACUCCUACGGGAGGCAGCAGUAGGGAAUCUUCCGCAAUGGGCGAAAGCCUGACGGAGCAACGCCGCGUGAGUGAUGAAGGUCUUCGGAUCGUAAAACUCUGUUAUUAGGGAAGAACAUAUGUGUAAGUAACUGUGCACAUCUUGACGGUACCUAAUCAGAAAGCCACGGCUAACUACGUGCCAGCAGCCGCGGUAAUACGUAGGUGGCAAGCGUUAUCCGGAAUUAUUGGGCGUAAAGCGCGCGUAGGCGGUUUUUUAAGUCUGAUGUGAAAGCCCACGGCUCAACCGUGGAGGGUCAUUGGAAACUGGAAAACUUGAGUGCAGAAGAGGAAAGUGGAAUUCCAUGUGUAGCGGUGAAAUGCGCAGAGAUAUGGAGGAACACCAGUGGCGAAGGCGACUUUCUGGUCUGUAACUGACGCUGAUGUGCGAAAGCGUGGGGAUCAAACAGGAUUAGAUACCCUGGUAGUCCACGCCGUAAACGAUGAGUGCUAAGUGUUAGGGGGUUUCCGCCCCUUAGUGCUGCAGCUAACGCAUUAAGCACUCCGCCUGGGGAGUACGACCGCAAGGUUGAAACUCAAAGGAAUUGACGGGGACCCGCACAAGCGGUGGAGCAUGUGGUUUAAUUCGAAGCAACGCGAAGAACCUUACCAAAUCUUGACAUCCUUUGACAACUCUAGAGAUAGAGCCUUCCCCUUCGGGGGACAAAGUGACAGGUGGUGCAUGGUUGUCGUCAGCUCGUGUCGUGAGAUGUUGGGUUAAGUCCCGCAACGAGCGCAACCCUUAAGCUUAGUUGCCAUCAUUAAGUUGGGCACUCUAAGUUGACUGCCGGUGACAAACCGGAGGAAGGUGGGGAUGACGUCAAAUCAUCAUGCCCCUUAUGAUUUGGGCUACACACGUGCUACAAUGGACAAUACAAAGGGCAGCGAAACCGCGAGGUCAAGCAAAUCCCAUAAAGUUGUUCUCAGUUCGGAUUGUAGUCUGCAACUCGACUACAUGAAGCUGGAAUCGCUAGUAAUCGUAGAUCAGCAUGCUACGGUGAAUACGUUCCCAGGUCUUGUACACACCGCCCGUCACACCACGAGAGUUUGUAACACCCGAAGCCGGUGGAGUAACCUUUUAGGAGCUAGCCGUCGAAGGUGGGACAAAUGAUUGGGGUGAAGUCGUAACAAGGUAGCCGUAUCGGAAGGUGCGGCUGGAUCACCU